GGAAGUGUGCCAGAGCGGUCGAAUGGAACGGUCUUGAAAACCGUCGAGGGAAACCUCCCAGGGUUCAAAUCCCUGCGCUUCCG
Molecule: transfer RNA, 83 nt
Filed under: Candidatus Ancillula trichonymphae
Lineage: Bacteria; Bacillati; Actinomycetota; Actinomycetes; Bifidobacteriales; Bifidobacteriaceae
Also listed under: 1 other name
Description: tRNA-Ser
Rfam family: tRNA
About the family: Transfer RNA (tRNA) molecules are approximately 80 nucleotides in length. Their secondary structure includes four short double-helical elements and three loops (D, anti-codon, and T loops). Further hydrogen bonds mediate the characteristic L-shaped molecular structure. tRNAs have two regions of fundamental functional importance: the anti-codon, which is responsible for specific mRNA codon recognition, and the 3' end, to which the tRNAs corresponding amino acid is attached (by aminoacyl-tRNA synthetases). tRNAs cope with the degeneracy of the genetic code in two manners: having more than one tRNA (with a specific anti-codon) for a particular amino acid; and 'wobble' base-pairing, i.e. permitting non-standard base-pairing at the 3rd anti-codon position.
Source: RNAcentral